AGUCGACGAAGCUUGAUGAUGGAUUUCUUCGGAAAGAAAUCUGAAAUGACUGAGUGGCGGACGGGUGAGUAACGCGUGAGUAACCUGCCCUUAGGAAAGGGAUAGCGUCUGGAAACGGACGGUAAUACCAUAUAAAGUAUAUUAACGGCAUCGUAGAUAUACCAAAGCUGAGGCGCCUAAGGAUGGACUCGCGUCUGAUUAGAUAGUUGGUGGGGUAACGGCCUACCAAGUCGACGAUCAGUAGCCGGACUGAGAGGUUGAACGGCCACAUUGGGACUGAGACACGGCCCAGACUCCUACGGGAGGCAGCAGUGGGGAAUAUUGCACAAUGGGCGAAAGCCUGAUGCAGCAACGCCGCGUGAAGGAAGACGGUUUUCGGAUUGUAAACUUCUGUUCUUAGUGAAGAAUAAUGACGGUAACUAAGGAGCAAGCCACGGCUAACUACGUGCCAGCAGCCGCGGUAAUACGUAGGUGGCAAGCGUUGUCCGGAAUUACUGGGUGUAAAGGGAGCGUAGGCGGGAAGCCAAGUCAGCUGUGAAAACUACGGGCUUAACCUGUAGACUGCAGUUGAAACUGGCUUUCUUGAGUGAAGUAGAGGUUGGCGGAAUUCCGAGUGUAGCGGUGAAAUGCGUAGAUAUUCGGAGGAACACCGGUGGCGAAGGCGGCCAACUGGGCUUUAACUGACGCUGAGGCUCGAAAGUGUGGGGAGCAAACAGGAUUAGAUACCCUGGUAGUCCACACUGUAAACGAUGAUAACUAGGUGUGGGGGGUCUGACCCCUUCCGUGCCGCAGCUAACGCAAUAAGUUAUCCACCUGGGGAGUACGACCGCAAGGUUGAAACUNCAAGGAAUUGACGGGGNCCCGCACAAGCAGUGGAUUAUGUGGUUUAAUUCGAAGCAACGCGAAAGACCUUACCAGCACUUGACAUCCGACUAACG
RNAcentral lists this ribosomal RNA (938 nucleotides) under uncultured bacterium. RNAcentral describes it as "bacterial SSU rRNA". It matches the Rfam family "Bacterial small subunit ribosomal RNA", at positions 60 to 997 of the family's 1533-position model. The record is from RNAcentral.